This 22-nucleotide non-coding RNA is filed under the name Arabidopsis thaliana (thale cress). The record is from RNAcentral. Lineage: Eukaryota; Viridiplantae; Streptophyta; Magnoliopsida; Brassicales; Brassicaceae.
UAGUACGAAUGGGGAAAGACGU